CCCUGCUCCCAAAUUUGCCCCUCAUUUAACAAGGCUUCAAUGAUUUCUUCGGUUUGGAGCAGUGUAAUAAUGAAAUUGAAGCCUGUUGGGUUGCAUCACCUCUUCCGAAUUCCACUUCUGCAACCACUCAAAAGUCACCGUUCACCCUUUCACUAACCUUAGAUCCUUUUCGUUUCAAAUCAAAUCCACUUUUUUCUCUACUUAGGUCUCUCUCUCUCUCUCAAAGUGGUUCUGGAGCACUCCUCUCCAUCGAUUUCUCAAUUCUUGUGUGUCUCUCUCAUUCGAUCUCUCUAAUCCAUGACCCCAUCUAGCGACGAUAUGGUGUGUAGUGGUAAAAUUUGCUCCCUAGGGUUUCAGUGGUAGGAUUCUCGAGCAGAUCCGUGGUAGAUGGCUGUUGAGGUCAUGUGCUUCAGCUUGUUAGUUCUAGCAACUGAUGUUGAACUUUUGUAAUUCUGGCGACUAUAAUGAUGAUUCCGACAACUUGGGUAGUGGUUUGCGACGACAACAGUGACUACCUGCGGUGGAGGCGAACUUCAGCCGCCAAACAACGGUGGUCUAUGGUGGUGGUUGUAUACUUUCGGCCGCCAAAAUCGUCUUGUGUUGAAGUGGAGCAAAAAAUCUCUGAUCUCUAAGAUUACAGGGACCUAAACUGCCAAACAAAUUUCAAAGCUCAUGAUUAGAUAGAUAGGUCUCAAAACGAAAGGGGGGAAACCGAUAGAAAUCGAAGUGUGAGCAUAUGUUGAUUGUUCAAUCGAAAUGCAAACAAUUUUACAAUGUCUUAGUGUUGUUGAUUGCGAAAGAUGGUGUGGUGUCUGAUGCGAGCAAAAUGAAGGCAACCGCCUCUGCCAAGAGAGGAAGUAAAGCCUCCGCCGCCGCUACUUCAGCUAAGGCUAUGCCAACUAACUAUUUCGAAGGUUGUUGCUGUCUAAUAGAGAGGGUGCAAGGCAGGUUUGGUAUUCUUUUUUUGCAAUAGAUUUCUGUUACCUAUGUUAGGUUGAUCUCAGCUGGUGCCCUUGCCCCGCAUGACUUGUGCAUGUAUCCUCCCCUGACAACCACCAUCUUUAAUCUAACUACUUAUAAGCACAAGUUAAAUUAAUACACAAUAAUCAUUGAGUAGGUACUAAUAAUUGUUGAAAGUUCUGCCCUUGAAUUUAAAGGAUCUGAAAGUGUAAGAACUCUUGUCGCUAUUGUGGUAUGAAUGCUUCCUAAGUUCCUAUCAUAACCAUUACCUUCAAUUUUUUUCUUAAUUCUUUAUUAUAGAUGGUGGCAUUGUAGCAGAGAACCAAGCUAAGUUGGUUUUUAUUUUUAUUUUAGCUAUUAUUAUUUACUUGUGAAAAUUAUUUUUCUAUACACAUUUGACUUUUCUUUAAAAAGAACAAACUAGAGUACCAAAUAAGUCCAGUAACUUGGGUUUUCAGAAUCCUGAGUUCUUAGGGAAGUCCCAAAGGUCUCUAAAAUUUUUGACACAGGUGAACAUAGAUUGAGCUACAAGUCGAGACUGAGAAGCCAAGUGUGAAAAAGUCCGAGCAAUCUAAGUUGACAUUUGUUAAUUUUCAUGUUAUUUUGUGGGUAUAAAAUUGGGCUUUCUUGGUUUUUGUUAUUACGUCGAAACACCCGGAUUGUGGAUGGGUGUAUAAAAUUAUUUGUACCUAAUAGAUAAGUAACCGGUUACAAUAUGUGCCACAAUUCUAUGAACUGAUGAUUCAUUUUCCCGCUUU
Helianthus annuus (common sunflower) is the source of this 1718-nucleotide long non-coding RNA. RefSeq lists it as uncharacterized. The transcript is spliced from 5 exons. The record is from RefSeq and is a predicted model, not a curated record. NCBI's taxonomy places the organism in Eukaryota, Viridiplantae, Streptophyta, Magnoliopsida, Asterales, Asteraceae.